AAAUUGAGUUAUAAUGCAUGAUGAUAUCCAGGAAAUAGAUGGGUGAUGAAUUUAUGAUUGUGGUCAUGAUGUUGGGCAUGGUGUUUGAAUGAAUUUUGUGUGAGGAAGCAUGUGUGUGAGAUUUUGAGCUCCAGAGUUUUUAUUGUUGCAUGUAUUAUUCACAGGAAAACAUGGAUGAUAUUGCCUUAAUCUUGAUGAUCGAUUGAAUUGCAUGUAAAUGUCAUAUGAUCAAGGCCAUUUUUGAAAACCCUUCUCUACCCAAAUUUUCACCCAAAGUGUUUGAAAUAUUAUUCCCUUUUUGAACCUUAGUCUUAAACAAGAUGUGAUCCCUUGUUUUGAAAUUCUUUACCUUGUGUUGGGAUGAGCUAACUUGUAUGUGAUGAAAAGGUUCAAGUUUGGGGUUGUAUGGGGGAAAAUUGAAAAAGCAAAUGAAGGGCAUUGAGCUCAAUUGUUGUGAAAAGAGAAANUUCAUGAGAAAAAGAAAAGAAAAGAAGAAAAGCAUGAAGAAGAGCUCAAUGCAAAAGAAAAAGAAAAGGGAAAAAUUGGGAAUGAGAGACAUUGGUGAGAGUGGUGCUUAAAUGUUGAAUAUUUUGUUAGCUCUCUUGAUUGAAGGAUUUUGCAUUCUAGAAAAACCAAUUCU
Molecule: long non-coding RNA, 640 nt
Filed under: Vigna radiata
Lineage: Eukaryota; Viridiplantae; Streptophyta; Magnoliopsida; Fabales; Fabaceae
Description: long non-coding RNA (VRAD_LNC003673)
Source: RNAcentral